RNAcentral lists this ribosomal RNA (485 nucleotides) under uncultured bacterium. RNAcentral's name for it is "bacterial SSU rRNA". It matches the Rfam family "Bacterial small subunit ribosomal RNA", at positions 39 to 518 of the family's 1533-position model. The record is from RNAcentral.
AGCGACAGGCCUAACACAUGCAAGUCAGGGGCAGCACAAGGAGCAAUCUGAGGUGGCGACCGGCGCACGGGUGAGUAACACGUAUGCAACCUGCCUGUAAGCGGGGAAUAACCCGUUGAAAGACGGACUAAUACCGCAUAAUACUAAAUUACUGCAUGGUAAUUUAUUUAAACAUUUAUGGCUUACAGAUGGGCAUGCGCAUGAUUAGCUAGUUGGAGAGGUAACGGCUCCCCAAGGCAACGAUCAUUAGGGGUUCUGAGAGGAAGGUCCCCCACACUGGUACUGAGACACGGACCAGACUCCUACGGGAGGCAGCAGUGAGGAAUAUUGGUCAAUGGACGAGAGUCUGAACCAGCCAAGUCGCGUGCAGGAAGAAUGUCCCUAUGGAUUGUAAACUGCUUUUGCAGGGGAAUAAAGUGCAUCACGUGUGAUGUUUUGUAUGUACUCUGCGAAUAAGGAUCGGCUAACUCCGUGCCAGCCGCGGC